UCGCGGGAUGGAGCAGUUGGCAGCUCGUCGGGCUCAUAACCCGAAGGUCGUAGGUUCAAGUCCUACUCCCGCAAU
Molecule: transfer RNA, 75 nt
Filed under: Vagococcus lutrae
Lineage: Bacteria; Bacillati; Bacillota; Bacilli; Lactobacillales; Enterococcaceae
Description: tRNA-Met
Rfam family: tRNA
About the family: Transfer RNA (tRNA) molecules are approximately 80 nucleotides in length. Their secondary structure includes four short double-helical elements and three loops (D, anti-codon, and T loops). Further hydrogen bonds mediate the characteristic L-shaped molecular structure. tRNAs have two regions of fundamental functional importance: the anti-codon, which is responsible for specific mRNA codon recognition, and the 3' end, to which the tRNAs corresponding amino acid is attached (by aminoacyl-tRNA synthetases). tRNAs cope with the degeneracy of the genetic code in two manners: having more than one tRNA (with a specific anti-codon) for a particular amino acid; and 'wobble' base-pairing, i.e. permitting non-standard base-pairing at the 3rd anti-codon position.
Source: RNAcentral